This 445-nucleotide ribosomal RNA is filed under the name uncultured bacterium. Its description in RNAcentral is "partial 16S ribosomal RNA". It matches the Rfam family "Bacterial small subunit ribosomal RNA", at positions 354 to 796 of the family's 1533-position model. The record is from RNAcentral.
GUAGGGAAUAUUGGGCAAUGGAGGCAACUCUGACCCAGCCAUGCCGCGUGCAGGAUGACGGCCCUCUGGGUUGUAAACUGCUUUUAUACGGGAAGAAAAAAUACUACGUGUAGUAUACUGACGGUACCGUAAGAAUAAGGAUCGGCUAACUCCGUGCCAGCAGCCGCGGUAAUACGGAGGAUCCAAGCGUCGUCCGGCUUUAUUGGGUUUAAAGGGUGCGUAGGCGGAUCGUUAAGUCAGUGGUGAAAGCCUGCAGCUUAACUGUAGAAUUGCCAUUGAAACUGAAGAUCUUAACUGUGGUUAAAGUAGUCGGAAUGUAUCAUGUAGCGGUGACAUGCUUAGAGAUGAUAUAGAAAACCGAUAGCGAAGGCAGCUUGCUGAACCAUUAUUGACGCUGAGGCACGAAAGCGUGGGGAGCGAACAGGAUUAGAAACCCUUGUAGUCC